AAACGAUUGAAGUCAGUCAUGCCGGUGAGAAAUCAGCUUACAGGCUACUGUGAGUGCACUUUUUCGCAAGGCAGGUUAACAUCGGUUUUUGUUGCAUCAUAAUGAUUGUAGGAAGGUGGCUCCUUCGGGAGUGUUAUAGCCUACUUUAGAUGGCGCGACGAAGACUGAGGAUUGCAGCGAAUGCCUUUGGCUACGGAUCUUUUCUCUGUCGAUCUUCGAUUGAUCGUCAGCUUGCUGACGAGCGGUUGAUAGGUUUGCAAUAGGAUGGAAUCCGAUAAAUUCGCUAAGGAUGUUGACGUAAUGGCUUUAAACGA
RNAcentral lists this ribosomal RNA (314 nucleotides) under Archaeosporaceae sp. RNAcentral's name for it is "LSU rRNA". The record is from RNAcentral. Lineage: Eukaryota; Fungi; Glomeromycota; Glomeromycetes; Archaeosporales; Archaeosporaceae.